This 25-nucleotide non-coding RNA is filed under the name Rattus norvegicus (Norway rat). Lineage: Eukaryota; Metazoa; Chordata; Mammalia; Rodentia; Muridae. The record is from RNAcentral.
UGGACUUUGAACCUGACAUCCAAGU